GAUGAACGCUGGCGGCGUGCCUAAUACAUGCAAGUCGAGCGAACAGACGAGGAGCUUGCUCCUUUGACGUUAGCGGCGGACGGGUGAGUAACACGUGGAUAACCUACCUAUAAGACUGGGAUACUUUCGGGAAACCGGAGCUAAUACCGGAUAAUAUGUUGACCCGCAUUGUUCAACAGUGAAAGACGGUUUUGCUGUCACUUAUAGCUGAAUCCGCGCUGCAUUAGUUAGUUGGUAAGGUAACGGGUUACCAAGGCAACGAUGCGAACACGGCCUGAAGGGGUCAUCGGCCAGCCUGUAUGAGAGAAAGAGUCCAGACUCCGAGAGGAGGACGCAGUAGGGAAUCUUCCGCAAAGGAGGAGAGCCGAACGGAGCAACGCCGGGGGAAUGAAGAAGGUCCUCGGAUCGUAAAGCGCAGUAAGUAGGAAGGAAGAAAAGUGUAAGUAACCGUGCACAUCAUGACGGUACCGGAACAGAAAGCCACGGCUAACUACGUG
Molecule: ribosomal RNA, 497 nt
Filed under: uncultured bacterium
Lineage: Bacteria
Description: partial 16S ribosomal RNA
Rfam family: Bacterial small subunit ribosomal RNA
Source: RNAcentral